AUAGCAGUCAGGAAUAAGGAGUCGUUAUUGAUGGCAGCGGGGACUCACCCGUAUGUGUGGCAAACUGUUGUGUUUUCACCAUAUAAGAAAUAGAAGACCAAUAGAACAGUAAUUAUGGAAGAAAUAAUAGACUGGUAUUUGAUAGAAUUUGAACGAUUACAAGGAAAAUUUGCAGGAAAUAGGAGAUGAGAGAAGAAAGUUACAGACUUAGGGAUGAGAAGAGAGCAGAAACAUAUUGCUGAAAUCUGGUAUUUUUCUUCCUUAAAAAAAGGUAGCUGCAUGAGGGAAGUGUGAGCCGUUAUUCCCUUCCACGUGCAACCAGCUGAGGUGUCACUUGACAAAAUCUUUCAGCCAUUUGGGAGCCAUUCUGGGCCGAGUGCUUCCUCUAGGAGCCUGUGUAUUGGUUAUUCCAGUAGUCUGCUGCUGCAUUGGUGGGUCGUUCAUAACACAAACUCAACGGCGGAAGAGGCAAGGGCGUGUCUUAGUGCCGUAGUUUUGGCAGAGAAGUUAGGUUUUCGGGAAGUAAUUGUUGAGGGGGAUGCGUUGACUGUUAUUAAGAAAUUUCGAUUGGAAAGGGAUGUGAUUCAAGGAAGAAUUCGAAUCCAGUAGUCGGAACGAGGACUAUGUACAAGGAUAUGGAAGAUUUUCUUUUCAAGAUGCUAGGAGAGGAAUUUCGAUUGGAAAGGGAUGCGAUUCAAGUUCUCAGUAAACCUUCAUACGAAAUCAUAUAUCAUUGUUAAUUGAAUUUUAAGUCAAUAUUACAUUUGUUUAACUGCUAAUCAAGUUUUAUUUUUCAAUAUGCAGAUAGAUGUGGAUACAACAUGCAAAAGGUAUGGAACUAUGAACAAUGUCCUCGUUUUAGAGGAUCUUAAAAGUUCGUAUUAAACAGAUAUGCAAUUACUAAGCUUUGUUAGUGCAAUUUAUCGUGCAUUAUUUGGGCAAAUUAAGUUUCUAUUGUUAUUUUAUUUUUGUUCAUUAGCCUUUUAAUGGUGGUUUACAUUGCGAAAUAUGAUAAUCCUGAAGGUUUUCUUAACGGUUGUGAAUGACAUUUCUCCAUUUACUAUGGUAUGUUUGAACUUGUUAGAACUGACGGAUAUUCCUUUCCUCUCUCUUGUCUUAUAAGAGCAUGGAGAAGCUUCUUGACCGGUCGAUGUUUACUUUAUAUGUGAAUUUUAGUUUACCUUGUUUCGAUGUUCACUUGCAUAUGAAGAUGAAGAAGAAGAAUAAGACAGUUUCCAGUUUCUUCGAAGAUUCGUGAAGGAAUAUAGGGCUACAAUGAAGGAAUAUUAUAAAGCUACAAGUCUUGAGUUUUCAAAAUGUUGUUGAUGCUUUGUUUAAGGGGGAUCAAGAUCAAGCAAACAAAAUUCUCGAACAGGAUUUUGGUGUGGCAUGGACAAACUUUUCAAGAAAAGGCUCACCAAGCAGAUGAAGAAUCCAAUUACAAGAGUUUUGAAACUCGGAACACCGAGAUAGAAGAAGAAAUGUUGCUCGAGUUGCACGAUCAUGACAUAAGGGACGCAAUCCAACUUUUGAAGUAUCACUUAUCUUUACUAGCCAGCAUCCUAUGUAACUUUUUGAUGCUGUAAAAUUUAACAUAUAGAUUAUGACGUAUAAGUUGAUGACAUCAUGUCACUUUUUGUUAAUGUACGAAAUUAUGUUUGGAUAUAAAAUAUAAUUCUCAAAUUAUUUAUUA
Gossypium raimondii (Peruvian cotton) is the source of this 1693-nucleotide long non-coding RNA. RefSeq lists it as uncharacterized. The record is from RefSeq and is a predicted model, not a curated record. The transcript has 4 exons. Lineage: Eukaryota; Viridiplantae; Streptophyta; Magnoliopsida; Malvales; Malvaceae.